CCUACGGGUGGCAGCAGUCGAGAAUUUUUCUCAAUGGGGGAAACCCUGAAGGAGCGACGCCGCGUGGAGGAUGAAGGUCUUCGGAUUGUAAACUCCUGUCAUUGGGGAACAAACCGCUAGGGUUAACUGCCUUGGCGCUGAUAGUACCCGAAGAGGAAGAGACGGCUAACUCUGUGCCAGCAGCCGCGGUAAUACAGAGGUCUCGAGCGUUGUUCGGAUUCAUUGGGCGUAAAGGGUGCGUAGGUGGUCGGGUAAGUCGGAUGUGAAAUCCCGGGGCUCAACCCCGGAACUGCAUUCGAUACUGCUUGGCUUGAGUACUGGAGAGGAGAUCGGAAUUUACGGUGUAGCAGUGAAAUGCGUAGAUAUCGUAAGGAAGACCAGUGGCGAAGGCGGAUCUCUGGACAGUUACUGACACUGAGGCACGAAGGCCAGGGGAGCAAACGGGAUUAGAUACCCCUGUAGUC
RNAcentral lists this ribosomal RNA (464 nucleotides) under uncultured bacterium. RNAcentral describes it as "bacterial SSU rRNA". It matches the Rfam family "Bacterial small subunit ribosomal RNA", at positions 338 to 795 of the family's 1533-position model. The record is from RNAcentral.